Molecule: small nucleolar RNA, 141 nt
Organism: Vulpes vulpes (red fox)
Lineage: Eukaryota; Metazoa; Chordata; Mammalia; Carnivora; Canidae
Source: Ensembl
CCUCCUUUUCUUGGCGGGGGUUGGGUGUGCAAUUCCUGUAAUGUAUGGGGAGGCAGAAAGGGCUCUGGCCCCCUCGGCGUCAUGUCUUUAGAGCCCACGGCUUCCAGUCCGCUGGUUCUAUCCUCAAGCGCUGGGACACGA